GUCCUAAAUAAGAAGAGCCAUACUGAAGAAGUUUUAUUCAGGAGACAGACUGAGAAGAGAGCCAGAUUACCUCCUGGGACUUUUCAAAAAUGCCUCAUCCCAAGGAACGCCCCAAGGGUCUAGAACUGCCCAUCCCAGGUCAACUGGGAAGAAGGAAAGACAAGAAAAGAACGUACAACCUGCAAAUAAUAGUAAGGGAGUAAGUGGAAAUAUGAAAUAAAUACUGAUGCGCCUGCCCCAUCUGGUCACACAGUGCUUUGAAGAAAGGCCCUUCCUUUGGGGAAAAUGACAAGAAUUCGGCCUUCAUCAUCAAUGCUGGAGAAUAAGACAGACCUGUUCACUUCCCCUUCGGCAUGUGACGUUUGGAACACAGAUUUACGUGAGGAGCAGGAAAAGGUACUCUUUGCCACGUCUGCACUGUCUGAACAAGAGGAAGGCAGUGGACUUAUUAGUGUCAGGCUGGCUAACCUUGGAUCUGGUCAAACAAUUUGUUGUGAAGGAAAGAGCUUUUUACCUGGAGAAGGAACACACCUCGACCCAGCCAACAAAAUGGCUUUUAAAUACCUACACUUGGAAUUCCCCUCAUGGCUCAGUGGUUAAUAUACCAGACUAUCAUCCAUGAGGACACAGGUUCAAUCCCUGGCCUCACGUAGUGGGUUAAGGAGCCCUGUAUUGCUUCGGCUGUGGCACAGGCCGCCGGCUACAGCUCCGAUUUGACCCCUAGCCUGGGAGCGUCCACAUGCCGCAUGUGUGCCCCCCCCCAAAAAAAGACCAAAUAAAUAAAUACAUACAUACCUACA
RNAcentral lists this long non-coding RNA (800 nucleotides) under Sus scrofa (pig). Its description in RNAcentral is "lncRNA (ENSSSCG00070013942.1)". Lineage: Eukaryota; Metazoa; Chordata; Mammalia; Artiodactyla; Suidae. The record is from RNAcentral.